UGGGGAAUAUUGCACAAUGGGCGCAAGCCUGAUGCAGCCAUGCCGCGUGUGUGAAGAAGGCCUUCGGGUUGUAAAGCACUUUCAGCGAGGAGGAAGGUGGUGAGCUUAAUACGCUCAUCAAUUGACGUUACUCGCAGAAGAAGCACCGGCUAACUCCGUGCCAGCAGCCGCGGUAAUACGGAGGGUGCAAGCGUUAAUCGGAAUUACUGGGCGUAAAGCGCACGCAGGCGGUUUGUUAAGUCAGAUGUGAAAUCCCCGGGCUCAACCUGGGAACUGCAUUUGAAACUGGCAAGCUAGAGUCUCGUAGAGGGGGGUAGAAUUCCAGGUGUAGCGGUGAAAUGCGUAGAGAUCUGGAGGAAUACCGGUGGCGAAGGCGGCCCCCUGGACGAAGACUGACGCUCAGGUGCGAAAGCGUGGGGCAGCAAACAGGAUUAGAUACCCUGGUAGUCCACGCUGUAAACGAUGUCGAUUUUGGAGGUUGUGCCCCUUGAGGCGUGGCUUCCGGAGCUAACGCGUUAAAUCGACCGCC
Molecule: ribosomal RNA, 529 nt
Filed under: uncultured bacterium
Lineage: Bacteria
Description: partial 16S ribosomal RNA
Rfam family: Bacterial small subunit ribosomal RNA
Source: RNAcentral